AGUUAAUAUAUGCCUGGCACAUAGUAAGGGCUCCAGAAAAAUCAGUUACUGAAAUGAUUAAUCGCGGGCCUCAUCAGAGCCUUUGAUGGGGUACUAGGAUAACACGUAAGUAUUUAACCUCUGAAGUGGAGCUAAUAAUAUUAAUAAAUAUGUCACAAAGUUGUGUGAAGGGCAGCAGGGCUGAGUGGUUAAGAACAGGGAUGCUGGCGUCAGUCUAUUUGGGCUCUCCCACUUGCUUGCUGUAUGAACUCGGACAGGUGACUUCACCUCUCUGGGCCUCAGUUUCUUCAUCUGUUAAAUGGGCAUACGCAUAGUACCAAUCCCAUAGGGUUAUUAUGAGAAUUUUUUUUUUUCCAGUUUGUAAAGCACUCACAACCGUGCCUGGCACUAAGUGCCACGUAAGUGUUUCCCUAACAAAAUAGAUAGUUUCAACCAAAUAAAAAAGGAAGCACGCAGAGUGAGACUCAAGAGCUCCAGAGGCAGGUUACGGAAAGCAGUUACCGCCCAAUUUAUGUGACGUGAGUUUUCUUGGUCAGGAAGCACUUUGAGGGACCAGGGUGUCAAGGAAUAGCCUUUGGAAAAACGCAACCCUCCACAACCGCCGUGACACGCAUGUGGACUUAGGAAGACAGCAUCCGUUUCUCAUCUGCUCCAACACCCCCUAUGGGACUAAUCGUGAUCUGGGAAGCAACUCUCCCCAUUACCCUGCAUCUGGGCCUGCCCUCUGGCUUGACUUCGAGUGCCCCAGUGGGAGCCCCGGGCCCCCUGCCCUGGCCACAGGCCAUACUCACGGGUUGGUUGUAGAGAGGAUAAACAUAGAGCUGUAGGGGGGCAUGGGCUUGGGGCCGUCUUCCCCAGGGUCGUCUUCCUCCUCCUCCUUCUUCUCUUCCUCCUUUUUUGGCAGUGGGUCUGGGUUGGCGUUUUUGUUCACUGUGGGGACAAGAACCAACACAGGGCUCCCUCCGUGGUUUCCCACAAGCCUCUGGGCUCCUGUCCGCUCCCCAGGGCUGACAUUUAUAACGUGCCUACUAUGUGCCAGGCACCACGGUAUGUCGUUGAAUCCUCACGUGACCCUACGAGGUUUGUACUUGAUAAGCUCCGUUUUACAGAUGAUGCAGCUGCGGCACAGAGAGGUGAAGUGACUUGCCUAAGGUCACACGGAUUUCAACCUGGUCCCAGAGUGGUCCCUGCACUCGACCACUCGAUAGACAACCUUGAGUCUGGUGGGACCCUCACAGGAUAUUAACACAAACCUGCCCCCAUCCCACCGGACUUCAUUUGGAGGCAGGUAACCUGAGCCCCAAGAGCCCCGCUUUACAGAUGGUAAUACUGAGCUCUCUCUUCGUCAAACUGCAGGGUUUGCCCCCCAUUAACCCCUCUCUCUUGAUGGGAAGCGUCACUACCCUCCUGAGCGUUGAUUCUGCAGCCUAACCUUGCUAGGAGUCGGUGGGCAGGCGGAGUGUCCCUGAGCCUCAGUAUUUCCAUCUGUAAAAUGGGUAUAGUGACCAGAGUCACCCUGUGGGACUGUGGUGGGCGUUUAUUAAGCAGACUCACGGAAAUCUCCUACACAGAACCGACAAGUAAGAGGAACCAUCUAGUUACAUCUAGUUCAGAAAUAAGAAGCCCGGUGGGUCGUUUCUAAGUUCUUAGUGCUCCUCUGACCCCAAUCGCACAGGGUGGGGGGUCUGGGGGUCAAAAACUGCCAGUCUCUCAAGGGUCUAGGCCUGAGCCGUGGAACAGUGGCUAGUCCAAACCACGAAAGGCUGUAAGUGUAAAACACACUGAAUUUCUAAGACAGAGCACAGGAAUAAGAACGUAAAAUAGACAACUAAUCACGCGAAAAAUACUGAUCACAGGUUGAAAUGGUGGCAUUUUGGACAAAUAAAUAACGCUCUGGGUUAAACGCAA
Long non-coding RNA from Felis catus (domestic cat), 1908 nucleotides. RefSeq lists it as uncharacterized. NCBI's taxonomy places the organism in Eukaryota, Metazoa, Chordata, Mammalia, Carnivora, Felidae. The record is from RefSeq and is a predicted model, not a curated record. The transcript has 2 exons.